CACGUAGGGCGCAAGCGUUGUCCGGAAUUAUUGGACGUAAAGAGCUCGUAGGCGGUUUGUCGCGUCUGCUGUGAAAACUCGGGGCUUAACCCCGGGCCUGCAGUGGGUACGGGCAGACUAGAGUGCGGUAGGGGAGACUGGAAUUCCUGGUGUAGCGGUGAAAUGCGCAGAUAUCAGGAGGAACACCGGUGGCGAAGGCGGCGACCUGGGUAGAUACUGACGCUGAGGCGCGAAAGCGUGGGGAGCAAACAGG
Molecule: ribosomal RNA, 253 nt
Filed under: uncultured bacterium
Lineage: Bacteria
Description: partial 16S ribosomal RNA
Rfam family: Bacterial small subunit ribosomal RNA
Source: RNAcentral